Molecule: long non-coding RNA, 1563 nt
Organism: Haemorhous mexicanus (house finch)
Lineage: Eukaryota; Metazoa; Chordata; Aves; Passeriformes; Fringillidae
Exons: 2
Source: RefSeq, a predicted model, not a curated record
GCUGUGGCGGCAGCGCCGGGGUGGCCGCGGCUCCGUCACCGGCCCAGCCUGGGUGGGGGCCGGGCGGGAGCGCGCCCUGGGCUCGGGGCUGAAGUGAAGUGGGAUCUCAUAGUUAAGAAGAGGCAGGACCGAUCUCUUUGUGGUGACCAGUGACAGGAUCCGAGAGAAUGGCCUGGAGCUCAGUCAGGGGAGGUUUAUGUUGGAUAUCAGGAAACGGUUCAUCGCCCGGAGGUGGUUGGGCGCUGGAACGGGCUCCCCAGGGAAGUGGUCACAGCACCAGCCUGAGAGAGUUAAAAAGCUUUAGGACAGCACUUUCAGGCACAUUGUGUGGUUCUUAGGACUGUCGUGUGCAGAGCCAGGAAUGGGACUCGGUGGUCCUUGUCGGUCCCUUCCAACUCGGCUUCAUGUUUCCCCCAGAUGGGACAAUGACUGAAGAGCUGCAUGGAAGAGAAGGUGACGACAGAGAUAGUCCUGUCAUAACUCAGUCACUCUCUAAAGAGACAAAGCAGAAGAAAGGCACUGGGCUGAGCACAAAAAUAGCCUGAAAGGAGAAAACUUCAAACUGUCUGAGACCUGCAACUAAAAUAUGCCAAAACUUAUUGCUGCUUCAAGUGGCAUGAAGUCCUGCUUAGUGCCCAGCAGGAAUGAUGUAUAUUUAGUGAGUGACUUCAAUUUCAGCACUGAAAACAUGGAUAUUCCACCAUCUUACUAGGACCCAAAUCCCAUCCACUACUGUAGUAGUGAUUUCAGACAUUGGCUUGAAUGAAACCUUUUCCUACAAUUUUCAAAUUCAGUUCUCAACAGCAAAAGGGUGGGAGGUUCAGAAAUAACAUGGUAACAGGUGACCACUGAGAUGUGAAUAAAACAGAGCAAAAUCAUGUUCUUUAUUGCUUUUCAUUACACCAGGACAUCUACUGUAGUGUGAAAAACUAAAUUAAAGACCUGGUAAAUGUGAAAGAGUAAAGUAUCUCCAGCUGCAUGCAGUAAGGAUGCAAUAGCAUUAAGGAAUCCUGAGGUUAUUACAAACUACAGGUACAGGGCUCCAUAGAUUGUGUACUUUCAUGAGGGACACUGGAAAAAAAUGACAUGUACGCUGAAUAUAUGUAGACUUUGUAAAUAUGUUAAUAGUUACAUUGAAGAUUCAGAUUUUGCUAUAAGAAUCAUUAGGAAGUACAAUCUUAGUGGAAAGUUAAGUAACUUAUAAUUUGUCCUAAUACUUUAAACCUGAACACGAAUGAGGUGGGUUUUUGUUAAUAGUAAGCCAUACCUUUUGGGAAUACUCUUAUCAUGUAUGUGCAAAAAAACCUCCCCAAAAUGUUUAAAUACAUUUAACAGGCCAGAAUUUGUCUCAAGGUCAGUUGUACUGAAAUUUUGUAGUUAAGUUCGUAUCUUCACUUUUUCUUGGUGACUGAAGUUUUUUAUUGUUUCAAUGCCAUUACAAAGAACUGCCCUAAGAAUAUCCAUGUAAGAACUUUUCUAUAUGAAAGCGCUAAAUAAAAGCAGCAUUUGUCACUGAUUAGCCUGGACGUCUCGGAGAAGCAUAAUAAAAUCACAGUACAGCUU